RNAcentral lists this long non-coding RNA (538 nucleotides) under Jatropha curcas. Its description in RNAcentral is "long non-coding RNA (JCUR_LNC003007)". Lineage: Eukaryota; Viridiplantae; Streptophyta; Magnoliopsida; Malpighiales; Euphorbiaceae. The record is from RNAcentral.
CCCAAUAUUUCCACCUCCACUUGAAGACCCAACAAUCCCUAAUCUUCCUCCGGUUACUCAAAACCCUGUCCCACCAGUUCCUACAAUUCCUCUACUUCCAAAUCUGCCACCGUUGCCUCAACUCCCUCCUCUGCCAAAUCUGCCACCACUGCCACCACUACCACCACUUACACCGUGGCCUGGCAAAACCACCACCACUACUUCUUUGAAAAAUAACCAAGAAUUAGAUCAAACAGAAGCCAAACCUAAUUUUUUCUUUCCACCACCAAUUUUUCCACCAUUAUUUCAGCCACCGCCAUUGUUCCCUCCAUUGCUUCCUCCAAACCCACUUCAGCCUGCUCCAUCACCAUUGAUUCCUCUACCACCAAUUCCAGGCUUAACUCCAUCACCGCCACCACCAGUCUUUCCAUUUCCAUUUCCAUUUCCUUUCCCCCCUUCACCACCUCCAAGAAUCCCAGGAAUCCCUCCUGCUGCUUCUUCUUCUUCUUCUUCUUCUUCAAAGAAAACAUCUCCUUGACUUAUAAACAGUAUCCCGUAA